GGGCCCGUGGUCUAGUGGUUAUGACGUCACCCUUACAAGGUGGAGGUCCCCAGUUCAACUCUGGGCGGGCCCA
This 73-nucleotide transfer RNA is filed under the name Candidatus Woesearchaeota archaeon. RNAcentral describes it as "tRNA-Val". It matches the Rfam family "tRNA". Rfam says of the family: Transfer RNA (tRNA) molecules are approximately 80 nucleotides in length. Their secondary structure includes four short double-helical elements and three loops (D, anti-codon, and T loops). Lineage: Archaea; Nanobdellati; Candidatus Woesearchaeota. The record is from RNAcentral.